GGAUUAAUGGCGAACGGGUGAGUAAUACGUGAGUAACCUGCCCUUGACUCUGGGAUAAGCCUGGGAAACUGGGUCUAAUACUGGAUACUACCUCUUGCCGCAUGGUGGGUGGUGGAAAGGGUUUUACUGGUUUUGGAUGGGCUCACGGCCUAUCAGCUUGUUGGUGGGGUAAUGGCUCACCAAGGCGACGACGGGUAGCCGGCCUGAGAGGGUGACCGGCCACACUGGGACUGAGACACGGCCCAGACUCCUACGGGAGGCAGCAGUGGGGAAUAUUGCACAAUGGGCGGAAGCCUGAUGCAGCGACGCCGCGUGAGGGAUGACGGCCUUCGGGUUGUAAACCUCUUUCAGUAGGGAAGAAGCGAGAGUGACGGUACCUGCAGAAGAAGCGCCGGCUAACUACGUGCCAGCAGCCGCGGUAAUACGUAGGGCGCAAGCGUUGUCCGGAAUUAUUGGGCGUAAAGAGCUCGUAGGCGGUUUGUCGCGUCUGCUGUGAAAGCCCGGGGCUCAACCCCGGGUCUGCAGUGGGUACGGGCAGACUAGAGUGCAGUAGGGGAGACUGGAAUUCCUGGUGUAGCGGUGAAAUGCGCAGAUAUCAGGAGGAACACCGAUGGCGAAGGCAGGUCUCUGGGCUGUUACUGACGCUGAGGAGCGAAAGCAUGGGGAGCGAACAGGAUUAGAUACCCUGGUAGUCCAUGCCGUAAACGUUGGGCACUAGGUGUGGGGGACAUUCCACGUUUUCCGCGCCGUAGCUAACGCAUUAAGUGCCCCGCCUGGGGAGUACGGCCGCAAGGCUAAAACUCAAAGGAAUUGACGGGGGCCCGCACAAGCGGCGGAGCAUGCGGAUUAAUUCGAUGCAACGCGAAGAACCUUACCAAGGCUUGACAUUCACCGGACCGCCCCAGAGAUGGGGUUUCCCUUCGGGGCUGGUGGACAGGUGGUGCAUGGUUGUCGUCAGCUCGUGUCGUGAGAUGUUGGGUUAAGUCCCGCAACGAGCGCAACCCUCGUUCUAUGUUGCCAGCACGUGAUGGUGGGGACUCAUAAGAGACUGCCGGGGUCAACUCGGAGGAAGGUGGGGAUGACGUCAAAUCAUCAUGCCCCUUAUGUCUUGGGCUUCACGCAUGCUACAAUGGCCGGUACAAAGGGUUGCGAUAC
This 1155-nucleotide ribosomal RNA is filed under the name Kocuria rosea. RNAcentral describes it as "bacterial SSU rRNA". It matches the Rfam family "Bacterial small subunit ribosomal RNA", at positions 89 to 1255 of the family's 1533-position model. The record is from RNAcentral. Lineage: Bacteria; Bacillati; Actinomycetota; Actinomycetes; Micrococcales; Micrococcaceae.